This is a long non-coding RNA of Cotesia glomerata, 78 nucleotides long. RefSeq lists it as uncharacterized. The transcript has 3 exons. The record is from RefSeq and is a predicted model, not a curated record. NCBI's taxonomy places the organism in Eukaryota, Metazoa, Arthropoda, Insecta, Hymenoptera, Braconidae.
AUUUUGUCAAAUAUGUUUCAUUUCAUCGAGUAAUGUCGAAAAAUGGCAUUGGCUCAAAAGUUUAUGCCAUGAAUUACU